AAGUCGAGGGGUAACAGGGAGCUUGCUCCGCUGACGACCGGCGCACGGGUGCGUAACGCGUAUACAAUCUACCUCACACUGGGGGAUAGCCUUUGGAAACGAAGAUUAAUACCUCAUAGUAUUAUAGAAUGGCAUCAUUUUAUAAUUAAAGGUUACGGUGUGAGAUGAGUAUGCGUCCUAUUAGCUAGUUGGUAAAGUAACGGCUUACCAAGGCAACGAUAGGUAGGGGCCCUGAGAGGGGGAUCCCCCACACUGGUACUGAGACACGGACCAGACUCCUACGGGAGGCAGCAGUGAGGAAUAUUGGACAAUGGAGGGAACUCUGAUCCAGCCAUGCCGCGUGAAGGAUGACUGCCCUAUGGGUUGUAAACUUCUUUUAUACAGGAAGAAACACUGGUACGUGUACCAGCUUGACGGUACUGUAUGAAUAAGCACCGGCUAACUCCGUGCCAGCAGCCGCGGUAAUACGGAGGGUGCAAGCGUUAUCCGGAAUCAUUGGGUUUAAAGGGUCCGUAGGCGGACUAAUAAGUCAGAGGUGAAAUCCCGCAGCUCAACUGUGGAACUGCCUUUGAAACUGUUAGUCUUGAGUUAUUGUGAAGUGGUUAGAAUAUGUAGUGUAGCGGUGAAAUGCUUAGAGAUUACAUGGAAUACCGAUUGCGAAGGCAGAUCACUAACAAUAUACUGACGCUGAUGGACGAAAGCGUGGGGAGCGAACAGGAUUAGAUACCCUGGUAGUCCACGCCGUAAACGAUGGAUACUAGCUGUUCGGCCGUAAGGCUGAGUGGCUAAGCGAAAGUGAUAAGUAUCCCACCUGGGGAGUACGUUCGCAAGAAUGAAACUCAAAUGAAUUGACGGGGGCCCGCACAAGCGGUGGAGCAUGUGGUUUAAUUCGAUGCAACGCGAAGAACCUUACCUACUCUUGACAUCCAGAGAACUUUCCAGAGAUGGAUUGGUGCCUUCGGGAACUCUGAGACAGGUGCUGCAUGGCUGUCGUCAGCUCGUGUUGUGAAAUGUUGGGUUAAGUCCCGCAACGAGCGCAACCCUUAUCCUUGUUUGCCAGCACUUCGGGUGGGAACUCCAGGGAGACUGCCGGUGAUAAACCGGAGGAAGGUGGGGACGACGUCAAGUCAUCAUGGCCCUUACGAGUAGGGCUACACACGUGCUACAAUGGCGCAUACAGAGGGCAGCCAACUUGCGAAAGUGAGCGAAUCCCAAAAAGUGCGUCGUAGUCCGGAUUGGAGUCUGCAACUCGACUCCAUGAAGUCGGAAUCGCUAGUAAUCGUGGAUCAGAAUGCCACGGUGAAUACGUUCCCGGGCCUUGUACACACCGCCCGUCACACCAUGGGAGUG
This 1350-nucleotide ribosomal RNA is filed under the name uncultured bacterium. RNAcentral describes it as "partial 16S ribosomal RNA". It matches the Rfam family "Bacterial small subunit ribosomal RNA", at positions 59 to 1412 of the family's 1533-position model. The record is from RNAcentral.